RNAcentral lists this ribosomal RNA (537 nucleotides) under fungal endophyte sp. D6-1A1-31. RNAcentral's name for it is "eukaryotic LSU rRNA". The stretch from base 208 to 361 matches the Rfam family "5.8S ribosomal RNA". Lineage: Eukaryota; Fungi. The record is from RNAcentral.
CGUAACAAGGUCUCCGUAGGUGAACCUGCGGAGGGAUCAUUACACAAAUAUGAAGGCGGGCUGGAACCUCUCGGGGUUACAGCCUUGCUGAAUUAUUCACCCUUGUCUUUUGCGUACUUCUUGUUUCCUUGGUGGGUUCGCCCACCACUAGGACAAACAUAAACCUUUUGUAAUUGCAAUCAGCGUCAGUAACAAAUUAAUAAUUACAACUUUCAACAACGGAUCUCUUGGUUCUGGCAUCGAUGAAGAACGCAGCGAAAUGCGAUAAGUAGUGUGAAUUGCAGAAUUCAGUGAAUCAUCGAAUCUUUGAACGCACAUUGCGCCCUUUGGUAUUCCAAAGGGCAUGCCUGUUCGAGCGUCAUUUGUACCCUCAAGCUUUGCUUGGUGUUGGGCGUCUUGUCUCUAGCUUUGCUGGAGACUCGCCUUAAAGUAAUUGGCAGCCGGCCUACUGGUUUCGGAGCGCAGCACAAGUCGCACUCUCUAUCAGCAAAGGUCUAGCAUCCAUUAAGCCUUUUUUUCAACUUUUGACCUCGGAUC